GGGCCGUUAGCUCAGUUGGUAGAGCAGCUGACUCUAAUCAGCUUGUCGAAGGUUCGAAUCCUUCACGGCUCACCA
This 75-nucleotide transfer RNA is filed under the name Exiguobacterium profundum. RNAcentral describes it as "tRNA-OTHER". It matches the Rfam family "tRNA". From Rfam's summary of the family: Transfer RNA (tRNA) molecules are approximately 80 nucleotides in length. The record is from RNAcentral. Lineage: Bacteria; Bacillati; Bacillota; Bacilli; Caryophanales.